This is a long non-coding RNA of Acanthochromis polyacanthus (spiny chromis), 708 nucleotides long. RefSeq lists it as uncharacterized. The record is from RefSeq and is a predicted model, not a curated record. The transcript is spliced from 3 exons. Lineage: Eukaryota; Metazoa; Chordata; Actinopteri; Pomacentridae.
GUGGUAUAUCAUUAUUUUUUUACUCACAAUCUGUACAAUAUUGAUAAUCUGUGCAAUAUUAUUACUCUCGCAGUAUUUCUGUUCAUCAAAAACCUGCACAGUACCACUGAUGUGUGCAUAAUGUUAUUUCUAGAACUAGUACUUAUGUAUAUUUUUGUUUAUUUUGUACUAUAUUCCUUUAAUGUUGUACUAUUUUUGCUUCACUAAAAUAAAUCCCACUGUCUGCAGUUAUACAGUGGUAGUAUCAGAAUGCCAGGUGAGGUUAUUGUGGUUUUAAAUCAUAAGACGUGAAACAUGCUUGAUCUUAAAGCGGCCCAGUGGCCCAAAUGGUUAAAGUGGAAACCACAUGGUUAAAAACUGCAUGUCACCCUCCUCCUUUCUCUCCCCACAAGAAGCUGCCACGAUUAAUAUAAUGCUACUUAUUAUUAUUGCGCAUUAGAGGAUCAGUUCUUGCAAAGCAUGUUAGACCAGUAUGCAACGAACACUUUGUGCUUUCAGUGACGUCCUGCUCAGCUGUGUCUGAUGAUGUUCCACCGUCCAGGCCGUCCACAGCACUGAGCUCACUGCAAUCCAUUGAUGAAAAAGCAAAAAUACACCGACAUCUACAAGUGACUCAGCAAUUGUUCUCAUCAGUUCACCAAACCCUUCCAAGGAUCAGUCUCCAAUGAAGGAUCAAAAUCCUGAUUUGAAGCCCAAGUUAAGUAAGAU